Long non-coding RNA from Mercenaria mercenaria, 4032 nucleotides. RefSeq lists it as uncharacterized. NCBI's taxonomy places the organism in Eukaryota, Metazoa, Mollusca, Bivalvia, Venerida, Veneridae. The transcript is spliced from 2 exons. The record is from RefSeq and is a predicted model, not a curated record.
AUAGUUGUUUAAAUCAAUAUACAGAUUGCAGAUAAAAUGCUCGUUUUACAAAAGGCUACUAGGUAACGGGGAGAUCUUAAAUUUGCUCUAUUGUUUAAAAAUAUAUUAAGAACCUACGCUUUGAUUAUCAUAUAACGUGAGAUUAAUAAAAUGACUUUAAAAUUAGGUGGUUCAUUUUAACUUUGAAAUUGAGCUACUACUAGUUAUUCCAACAUAAACUUUUUGGUGUGGAAUAGACUGGAAUUCCAAAGUCUAAUACGUAUUGUGGCUUUUACUGUGGACAAUGUUCUGUAUUGUUCUACGACUGGUAUACUUUAGCACAACUGUUUGCCUUGAAUAUUAGAAAGAAAGAUAUUUUAAGAUUUCUAGCAAGUACUGGCAGUUUAUCAUCUUUGUCAAAAAGCACUGGAGUGUCAAAAUUUAGAACAUAGGUGUUUCAAUUCUGAACACAGAACUUCUAACCAAAUUUAUGGAUACAUUUUUUUCUAUAUCAAACUCGUCGGUUUUGGAGUUUAAAGGAGUUUUACACUAAAUACGUGUAUUUCAAAGUCAGAGGAAUUUUCAGAGGAAAUAUUCAUAAGAUUUAAUAAGUAUAUUCACGAUGUUAAUACAGAUGGGAGGGGUACUUGAUGAUAUCAAUAUUUGCUCAUAAAUCAUAAACAGUUACAGCAAUUUAUUUAUAAAAUGCUUGUAGAACUAUUAUGUAAUGCAUACGCGUGAAUAAAGAAAUGUCAUAUAAGAUAUAUUGUUUAAUUGAUAUUUGAAAUACUUUGUUUAAUUGAUAUUUAAAGGGAGCUGCAAAUAAACAUCUUAUUUUCAGAGUUUGGUUUGGUUUCUUUUGAGGAUUUUUCUUCUUGUAUUGCAUAUGUAACUAAAGGUUACAAAUCAUUAAUAAAACUUGGAGUUGGAACUAGUUUAAGGUUCUGACAUUAUUUCUAAUAGUAUAGAGGCCUAAAUAUGUAAUAAGCUGUCUUGAUAUCGAUUGUUAAGAGGGGAUUGGCUAGAUGAAUUUUAAAGUAUUAAGAUAUUCUAUAAACUAGACUGCUGUAAUAUUUACCGAAAACCGAUUAUAUAUGUACAAUGCUACACUAUGCGUUUGAUCAGAUUUUGUUUGAACUUGUCUAGUUGAAGGGUCUCUUGUUUGUUGUGCGUGGAUAGUUCUUCUUGUUCUUAAUGUAUCGCCAGUUUGGUCAAUAUAAUAUUCUUCGCAUCCAUUGCAGGUGAUUACAUACAGUACAUUUUUUUUAUAUCACAGGACAUAUUUUCAUUUACGUAAAAUCUUUUGCCGUUAAAGUUGUAGUAAUUGCUUUCGUUUAUAUGUUUGCAUAAACUACAGUUGGGUCUUUUGCAUUUUGAAACGGUGAAAUUUCCGCUUUUAUCAGACUUUAUUGUGAAUCUUGCUUUUGUCAAUAAUUUUUUAAGGUUUGGUGGUUACCGUUUGCUUUUGAUAAAUUUUGAGUUUGCGAGUACCUCUUUCAUUUUAGUGUCUGACAUUAUUAUAGGUAAAUUAUUUGUGAUAAUUGUAUAUAGUUCAGGGUUUUUAGGGUUGAAUGUAGAUACGUAAGGAAUUGUGUCUUUAUGUGGUUUGAUUUGUGUUUUAAGUAGUUUCUCUCUUGGAAUUUUAAGUGCUUUGCUGAUUCCAUUUUGGAUGAUAGUUUUAGGAUAAUGUUUGUUAAGAAGUGAUGACAAAAGUUCUUUUAAGCGUAUAUUCCUAAUGUUAGUAUCUGAAACAAUUGUGCAAAUACGUCUUGCUAAAUUAUAUGGUAUACUUAAUUUUGUAUGUUUUGGAUGACAUGAUUUAAAAUUAAGGUAUUGUUUUAUAUCUGAAGUUUUAAAGAAAAUGUCUGUUGAAAGAUGGCAACCAUUUUUCUUAAUCAAAUUAUCUAAAAAAGAUAAUUGUGUUUCCCCUAUUUCUAUUGUGAAUUUAAUAUCUGGGUGCAAAUUAUUUAACAGGACGUGGAAAUGCUCAAGUAGGUUUCGUGAUUUUGUCCAAAUGACAAAACAGUCAUCUAGGAAUCGUUUUUGUACCCCCCGACAACAAAGUUGUAAGGGGGGGGGGGGGUAUACUGGUUUCAGGUUGUCUGUCUGUCCGUCUGUCUGUCUGUCCGUCUGGUCGUCUGUCCGUCUGUCCGUAGACGCAAUCUUGUGCGCACCAUCUCUCCUUAUCCCCUUGACAGAAUUUAAUGACACUUCACACAAGUGAUCAGUACCAACAGUAGUUGUGCAUGGGGCAUGUUAGGUUCUUUUAGAAAAAGAAUUUGCAGAGUUAGGGGACUUUGUUUUUUUUGUUACUAUACUAUAUACAUAGACACAAUCUUGUGCGCACCAUCUCUCCUCAUUCCCUGGACACAAUUUAAUGAAACUUCACACAAGUGAUCAGUACCAACAGUAGUUGUGCAUGGGGCAUGUUAGGUUCUUUUAGAAAAAAAAUUUGCAGAGUUAUGGAACUUUGUUUUUUUGUUACUAUAAUAUAUACAUAGACACAAUCUUGUGCGCACCAUCUCUCCUCAUCCCCUUGACACAAUUCAAUGAAACUUCACACAAGUGAUCAGUAACAACAGUAGUUGUGCAUGGGGCAUGUUAGGUUCUUUCAGAAAAAAAAAUUCCAGAGUUAUGGGACUUUGUUUUUUUGUUACUAUACUAUAGACAUAGACACAAUCUUGUGCGCAUAUCUCUCCUCAUUCCCUUGACACAAUUUAAUGAAACUUCACACAACUGAUCAGUAACAACAGUAGUUGUGCAUGGGGCAUGUUAGGUUCUUUCAGCGACAAAAAUUGCAGAUUUAUGGGACCUUGUUUCUUGUUAACAUACUAUGUACAUACAGUCUUCAUAUGCAAUCUUGCGCGUGCCUAAUCUACCAAACCCUUGCACACAAUUUAAUGAAACUUCACACAAGUGAUCAGUACCAACCCUAGUUGUGCAUGGGGCAUGUUGCAUUUUUUUAGAUAAAUAUUCUGCAUAGUUAUGGGACUUUGUUUUUUGUUACUAUACUGUAUACAUACAGUCUAUAUACAUACAGUCCACAUAAUUAUGCAGUCUUGUGUGUGUCAAAUUGCAAUGUUCUGUGUCAGUGCAUGCGGGGGGUACAUUCAUCACCUUUGGUGAUAGCUCUAGUUAAUUCUUUUUUAUAUAUGUAGCAGAUGUUGUGUCUGUUGCAUGUUCCAAGAUUGUAUAAAGCUUUUCUUCCAGGUAACCUAAUACUAAUGUUGCAUAUGUAGGUGCAAAUUUUGUUCCCAUAGCUGUUCCCCUGAUUUGAUUGUACAAGGUUCCAUUGAAUGAACAAUUGUUAUUUUCCAAAAUUGUUUUGAUGCCUUUUAAGUUUUAAGAUGAAUUCUUUUGUAAAUCUUUUAUGAAUACAAUCAGGAUAUUUUUCCAGCCAAUGUUGGAUUGCUUCUAGUCUCAAGUUGUGUGAAAUAUUUGUAAAGGUUUGUAACAUCAAAUGAAACUAAUAAUGCAUCUUCAGUUGUAAUUGAUGGCAUGUGGGAAAGAAAGUCUAUAUCAUCUCUAAUGUAACUUUUAACAUGACAGACAAAGGGUUUUAAUAAAAUAUCUAUAAGGUUACUAAGUCUGUGUGUUUCACAUAUUGGGCCUGCUACUGUCGGUGUAAAUUUGAGAUCAUCUCGGUCUCCUAAUUCUAUAUAUUCAUUAUUUUGUUCAAUGCACUUAUCUUUUAAAAGCUUACUUUUAUGAAUUUUAGGCAGACCAUAAAGCAUACUAGGUUUGAAUUCAAAGUUUAAUAAAUAAUCUAUUUCUUUCCUACUAAUAUCUUUACUAAAUUUAAUGACAUCUCUAAUUUUCUUAAAUGUUGUUUUAGAACAUGCUUCAUCAGCUUCUCUGUAAAAUGUUUUGUCUUCAAGCAUUUCUAGAAUUUUAAGUUUAUAAUAAUUCUUAUUCAUUAUAUAUAUGCAAAAGUCUGUACCGGAUCAAGUAUAUUAUAAAAAAAUAAAUGAACAUUUAUUGACGCCAUAUUGUAUUAUUUGCCCUGAUGAGUAUAAACGAAACCUGUAGGCAAAUAUAAUCUAACUCAUGUAA